CGAUCAGUUUUUUUCAAAACUAUACACAGAUUGCAUAAGAUUUAGU
Molecule: non-coding RNA, 46 nt
Organism: Schistosoma margrebowiei
Lineage: Eukaryota; Metazoa; Platyhelminthes; Trematoda; Strigeidida; Schistosomatidae
Source: Rfam